UCAGCACCACACUCUCCCGAGUGAGCCACGGGCUGGCCCGGUGGUUGUUUUCUUGAAAGAACAAAAUAUAAGGGAACCUUAGGCCUGUAUUCCACCAUGGAAACACAGGGCUAUAGCUGAACAGAGGCUGUCCUGUCAGCAGGGCAUGCUUCCUCCAGUUUGCCAAAGACUUUCCUACUAUUCUUUGAAUUAUUCCUGACCUAAUUUAAUCAUUUGUUAUUUGUUUGGCUGUGACCUCUGGACCAGGUGUCCUCACACCUUGCUUUCCCUGGGACAGUCCCAGCUUAGGCCUAUUGACCAGUCUUAAAUAUUAAUAGCACCCCCCAGACACACCCGUUACUCUCAAGUGUCCAGUUUGGACAGUAAAUUAUGUGGUCACCCUAAGCAUAAUGUACAAGCCAAUCUCCCACCACACACACACACACACGCACACCCAUCACCACUGAAUUCACACAACUAUGUCAAGCACAGAACCCUGUUAUAAAGUGAUUUUAUUAAAUUGAUUUGGACAUACUGUAGGUCAAAUAAUAUUUUCUGAAGAUAACAAUUAUGGACUUUAAAGCUCGACAUAAAAUUAGUAGCUUCAAAAGUGUUAGUCAUAUUCCCCAGCAACAGCAUGAUAAAAUAAUUCAACUAUGUAGAAAUAUAGAACUCUAGGACUAGCUGGAAACUCAGAAAUCAUUUAGCCUAAUGUCCUCAUUUUGUGAGAAAACUAGACUCAAAGAUUAAGCAAUUU
This is a long non-coding RNA of Galeopterus variegatus (Sunda flying lemur), 736 nucleotides long. RefSeq lists it as uncharacterized. The record is from RefSeq and is a predicted model, not a curated record. The transcript is spliced from 2 exons. Lineage: Eukaryota; Metazoa; Chordata; Mammalia; Dermoptera; Cynocephalidae.